RNAcentral lists this long non-coding RNA (319 nucleotides) under Ananas comosus (pineapple). RNAcentral describes it as "long non-coding RNA (ACOM_LNC039145)". The record is from RNAcentral. Lineage: Eukaryota; Viridiplantae; Streptophyta; Magnoliopsida; Poales; Bromeliaceae.
GCAUUGCAGCCUCCUGCUGACGCUGCACUACAUCAGCCUGUUGCCUCAUCACUCCCACGAGUGUGGCCAACUGUUCACGAAGCUCUGAGUCUCCGCUCGCGUCGAUUUGCUCAGGGACACCACUUGUCCCCGCCCGCGCCGAUCUGGACGAAGAUCGCCUACGCGGUGCCAUCGUUUCCCGAAACAAGACAACUCGAUUAGUUCUCGACCAACUCGGGUCGAACACGAGACCACUAACACCGGCUCAAAAGCCAAUCAGGCGAAAGUCAUGCAAGGACGUUUAUUCUCGUCACUCGGCUUCAUGUCGUGCGCGCCCAAC